GACGAACGCUGGCGGCGUGCUUAACACAUGCAAGUCGAACGGAAAGGCCCUGCUUGCAGGGUGCUCGAGUGGCGAACGGGUGAGUAACACGUGGGUGAUCUGCCCCUUACUUUGGGAUAAGCCUGGGAAACUGGGUCUAAUACUGGAUAGGACCAUGCUGUAGGUGGUGUGGUGGAAAGAUUAGUUUCGGUAAGGGAUGAGUUCGCGGCCUAUCAGCUUGUUGGUGGGGUAAUGGCCUACCAAGGCGUCGACGGGUAGCCGGCCUGAGAGGGUGGACGGCAACAUUGGGACUGAGAUACGGCCCAGACUCCUACGGGAGGCAGCAGUGGGGAAUAUUGCACAAUGGGCGCAAGCCUGAUGCAGCGACGCCGCGUGGGGGAUGACGGCCUUCGGGUUGUAAACUCCUUUCAGCCAUGACGAAGCCCUUGUGGUGACGGUAGUGGUAGAAGAAGCACCGGCUAACUACGUG
Molecule: ribosomal RNA, 469 nt
Filed under: uncultured bacterium
Lineage: Bacteria
Description: partial 16S ribosomal RNA
Rfam family: Bacterial small subunit ribosomal RNA
Source: RNAcentral